GGACAACCUGCCCUCGGGAGGGGGAUAACCCCGGGAAACUGGGGCUAAACCCCCAUAGGUGAUGGAUACUGGAAUGUUCCAUCACCGAAAGUCCGCAAGGAGCCCGAGGAUGGGUCUGCGGCGGAUUAGGUAGUUGGUGGGGUAACGGCCCACCAAGCCUAAGAUACGUACGGGCCAUGGGAGUGGGAGCCCGGAGAUGGACCCUGAGACAAGGGUCCAGGCCCUACGGGGCGCAGCAGGCGCGAAACCUCCGCAAUGCGGGAAACCGCGACGGGGUCAGCCGGAGUGCCGAUGCUUGCAUCGGCUGUCGGGGAGCCUAAAAAGCUCCCCAUAGCAAGGGCCGGGCAAGGCCGGUGGCAGCCGCCGCGGUAAUACCGGCGGCCCGAGUGGCGGCCACUAUUAUUGGGCUUAAAGCGUCCGUAGCCGGGUUGGUUAGUCUCCCGGGAAAUCUGGCCGCUUAACGGUCAGAAUUCCGGGAGAUACUGCCAGCCUAGGGACCGGGAGAGGCCGAGGGUAUUCCCGGAGUAGGGGUGAAAUCCUAUAAUCCCGGGAGGACCACCUGUGGCGAAGGCGCUCGGCUGGAACGGGUCCGACGGUGAGGGACGAAGGCCAGGGGAGCAAACCGGAUUAGAUACCCGGGUAGUCCUGGCUGUAAACGAUGCGGACUUUGUGUCGGACAAGCUAUGAGCUUGUCCGGUG
This 699-nucleotide ribosomal RNA is filed under the name uncultured archaeon. RNAcentral describes it as "bacterial SSU rRNA". It matches the Rfam family "Archaeal small subunit ribosomal RNA", at positions 102 to 800 of the family's 1478-position model. The record is from RNAcentral.